AUUGAACGCUGGCGGCAUGCCUUACACAUGCAAGUCGAACGGCAGCACGGACUUCGGUCUGGUGGCGAGUGGCGAACGGGUGAGUAAUACAUCGGAACGUGCCCAGUAAUGGGGGAUAGCUCGGCGAAAGCCGGAUUAAUACCGCAUACGCCCUGAGGGGGAAAGUGGGGGACCGCAAGGCCUCACGUUAUCGGAGCGGCCGAUGGCUGAUUAGAUAGUUGGUGAGGUAAAGGCUAACCAAGGCGACGAUCAGUAGCUGGUCUGAGAGGACGAUAGGCCACACUAGUACUGCGACCCGGCCCAAACUCCUACGGGAGGCAGCAGUGGGGAAUUUUGGACGAUGGGCGCAAGCCUGAUCCAGCAAUGCCGCGUGUGCGAAGAAGGCCUUCGGGUUGUAAAGCGCUUUUGUCAGGAAAGAAAUCCAUUGGGUUAAUACUCUAGUGGGAUGACGGUACCUGAAGAAUAAGCACCGGCUAACUACGUGCCAGCCGCCGCAGUAA
RNAcentral lists this ribosomal RNA (500 nucleotides) under uncultured bacterium. RNAcentral's name for it is "partial 16S ribosomal RNA". It matches the Rfam family "Bacterial small subunit ribosomal RNA", at positions 30 to 523 of the family's 1533-position model. The record is from RNAcentral.